CCUAACACAUGCAAGUCGAACGGUAACAGGAAGCAGCUUGCUGCUUUGCUGACGAGUGGCGGACGGGUGAGUAAUGUCUGGGAAACUGCCCGAUGGAGGGGGAUAACUACUGGAAACGGUAGCUAAUACCGCAUAACGUCUUCGGACCAAAGUGGGGGACCUUCGGGCCUCAUGCCAUCAGAUGUGCCCAGAUGGGAUUAGCUUGUUGGUGGGGUAACGGCUCACCAAGGCGACGAUCCCUAGCUGGUCUGAGAGGAUGACCAGCCACACUGGAACUGAGACACGGUCCAGACUCCUACGGGAGGCAGCAGUGGGGAAUAUUGCACAAUGGGCGCAAGCCUGAUGCAGCCAUGCCGCGUGUAUGAAGAAGGCCUUCGGGUUGUAAAGUACUUUCAGCGGGGAGGAA
Molecule: ribosomal RNA, 406 nt
Filed under: uncultured Cronobacter sp.
Lineage: Bacteria; Pseudomonadati; Pseudomonadota; Gammaproteobacteria; Enterobacterales; Enterobacteriaceae
Description: bacterial SSU rRNA
Rfam family: Bacterial small subunit ribosomal RNA
Source: RNAcentral